Molecule: ribosomal RNA, 423 nt
Filed under: uncultured archaeon
Lineage: Archaea
Description: partial 16S ribosomal RNA
Rfam family: Archaeal small subunit ribosomal RNA
Source: RNAcentral
CUACGGGGGGCAGCAGUCGGGAAAAUUUUGCAAUGCGCGAAAGCGUGACAAAGCGAGCCAGAGUGUUUCUCUUAUUUGAGAAACUUUUGUCAGCUGCAAAAAGGCUGAUGAAUAAGGACUGGGCAAGACCGGUGCCAGCCGCCGCGGUAAUACCGGCGGUCCAAGUCGCAGCCAUCAUUAUUGGGUCUAAAACAUCCGUAGCUUGUUCUGUAAGUCUCUUGUGAAAUCUUAUAUCUCAAGUAUAAGGCGGGCAAGAGAUACUGCAUUACUAGGGACUGGAAGACGUAGCGAGUACAAUUGAGGUAGUGGUAAAAUACGUUAAUCUUAAUUGGACUAACAACGGCGAAGGCACGCUACGAGGACAGAUCUGACAGUGAGGGAUGAAGGCCAGGGGCGCGAAAGGGAUUAGAUACCCCCGUAGUC